GGGAGAAAUGAAGAUCUUCAUCCACUUAUUCUGUAUAAGAAUGAUGAUUAUUUAACAUGCACUACCAUCUGAUCUCUC
Molecule: small nucleolar RNA, 78 nt
Organism: Macleaya cordata
Lineage: Eukaryota; Viridiplantae; Streptophyta; Magnoliopsida; Ranunculales; Papaveraceae
Source: Rfam